GAGGACGAUGGAACCGGGUUCCCCGCGGUCUGCAAAACCGUGUGCUGCGCUCGCGCUGCGAGGCAAGGUGGGUUCGACCCCCGCCGUCCUCU
This 92-nucleotide transfer RNA is filed under the name Chloroflexota bacterium. RNAcentral describes it as "Chloroflexi bacterium (anaerobic digester metagenome) tRNA-Cys". The record is from RNAcentral. Lineage: Bacteria; Bacillati; Chloroflexota.